UCCGUAGGCGGUUUAAUAAGUCAGUGGUGAAAUCUGGUCGCUCAACGAUCAAACUGCCAUUGAUACUGUUAGACUUGAAUAAUUGUGAAGUAACUAGAAUAUGUAGUGUAGCGGUGAAAUGCUUAGAUAUUACAUGGAAUACCAAUUGCGAAGGCAGGUUACUAACAAUUGAUUGACGCUCAGGUGCGAAAGCGUGGGGAGCAAACAGGAUUAGAUACCCUGGUA
RNAcentral lists this ribosomal RNA (225 nucleotides) under uncultured Flavobacterium sp. Its description in RNAcentral is "partial 16S ribosomal RNA". It matches the Rfam family "Bacterial small subunit ribosomal RNA", at positions 568 to 792 of the family's 1533-position model. The record is from RNAcentral. Lineage: Bacteria; Pseudomonadati; Bacteroidota; Flavobacteriia; Flavobacteriales; Flavobacteriaceae.